RNAcentral lists this ribosomal RNA (467 nucleotides) under uncultured Ralstonia sp. RNAcentral describes it as "bacterial SSU rRNA". It matches the Rfam family "Bacterial small subunit ribosomal RNA", at positions 337 to 796 of the family's 1533-position model. The record is from RNAcentral. Lineage: Bacteria; Pseudomonadati; Pseudomonadota; Betaproteobacteria; Burkholderiales; Burkholderiaceae.
UCCUACGGGGGGCAGCAGUGGGGAAUUUUGGACAAUGGGGGCAACCCUGAUCCAGCAAUGCCGCGUGUGUGAAGAAGGCCUUCGGGUUGUAAAGCACUUUUGUCCGGAAAGAAAUCGCACUUACUAAUAUUAGGUGUGGAUGACGGUACCGGAAGAAUAAGGACCGGCUAACUACGUGCCAGCAGCCGCGGUAAUACGUAGGGUCCAAGCGUUAAUCGGAAUUACUGGGCGUAAAGCGUGCGCAGGCGGUUGUGCAAGACCGAUGUGAAAUCCCCGGGCUUAACCGGGGAAUUGCAUUGGUGACUGCACGGCUAGAGUGUGUCAGAGGGGGGUAGAAUUCCACGUGUAGCAGUGAAAUGCGUAGAGAUGUGGAGGAAUACCGAUGGCGAAGGCAGCCCCCUGGGAUAACACUGACGCUCAUGCACGAAAGCGUGGGGAGCAAACAGGAUUAGAUACCCUAGUAGUCA